Cannabis sativa is the source of this 4472-nucleotide long non-coding RNA. RefSeq lists it as uncharacterized. The record is from RefSeq and is a predicted model, not a curated record. The transcript has 2 exons. Lineage: Eukaryota; Viridiplantae; Streptophyta; Magnoliopsida; Rosales; Cannabaceae.
GCAACUGGAGCCAAUACUCCUGCUGCACCCCCUAGUGCUCCCUGCGGCAUAACCCCUGUCGCCUGUCCCGGAUUAAGGUGAGGCAGCCGAUUCUUGAUCCACUCAUAGAGGUGCCCCAAUCGGAUUAGGUUUUCAAUCUCAUCCUUGAGAUUUUUGCAUUCAUUGGUGCUGUGCCCAAUGUCGUUGUGGUACUCGCAUCUUUUGUUGGGGUCCCUCCGGGAGCUAUCCUUGUAUAAGGGAGGUGGUCUCCGGUAGUGCGUAUUUUGCCUAGUAGCAAAGUACACACACUCUUGGGAGUCUGUCAACUCCGUGUACUGGGUGUACUGCGGAGUGUAUCCCUUUUUUUGUCGUUUUUCCUCCGUCCGGGUGCUGCCUUUGGAGGAUCGUUUGCUCCUCGAGCCCUGGGAAGGACCUGCCAAGCUGGCGGUUGGAGCGGAGUGCGAGGGAGCUUGUCCAUUUAUCCCCGAGGGAUUUCCAAAAUAGGACGAUGCGGGGGCCAAGGCCGGACCCUGACUGUAUCCGGGAGUAGCAGAGAAUUGUAUGCCGCUCAUAGGUGGAGCUGCGGUCAGGACAGUACCCGACGACGGGGCUUCGGGCAUAUACCCUGCUAUCCCGGUGGGAUAGUAUCCUCCAUAGGCCACUAUUUGGGCCUCUUCAAGGUUGAUGUAUUUUUGGACUCUUUUCUGGAAGUCCUGAAGGUUUGCGGCUCCUUCCUGUUGUAGUUCGUUCCAGAAGGGAGUCCCUGUACGGAUGCCUGCCUGGAGAAGGGUAAGCUGUUGUCCGUCAUCAACUCUCUGGGUUUUCAAGGCUUCCUCUCGGAACCUCUUUAUGUAGUUUUUCAAGGUCUCUGUAGGCAGCUGCUUGAUAUUAGUCAAGGCACUGACUUCCAGGUUGACCUUUCUUGCGGCGACAAACUGUCUCCGGAAGUUGGUCUGUAACUUAUUCCAACAGCCCACGGAUCGUGGUUCCAGCUUCUUGAACCAUUCCUCCGCGGACCCGCUUAGAGUAAGCGGGAAGCACAGACAUUUUGCGUUAUUGCUGACUCUCAUGACCGUCAUGACACGGUUAAACCGCGAUAAGUGGUCGCUUGGGUCGGAGUUCCCGGUAUAAGCUGCCAUUUCGGGCAUCUUAAAGUUCUUGGGGAGCUCUGCUUCCAGGAUGUGCUUAGCACACGGCUCCCGGUCCUCACAGUCUGAGUCGGAGUCGUCCCCUUUCUGUCUCCGAGAGACUCGGGCGAUAUCUUUUCGGAGUAUGGCAAGUUCCGCCAUGAUUCCUUCAUUUAACGUUCCCGUGGAGACCGCGGGCCCGUAUUUCUUUUGGUCAAGGUGAUCCCGGAGGUCACCUUGAUUCCCAUUGAUUUGAUUUCUCAAAUCUACAGGAGGACAUCUCUGUCCUCUUCUCCCUCUACCUCCGGGCUCUUGGUGCACGGAAACACUUUUUUGCUCCUCUCGAUCCUGAGGGCCAAGACUCCCUUUUUGGAGUUUGCCCCUCUGCGGACCUUUCCCUUUCGGGAAAUCAGAGCGGACCUUUCGCGGAUCAUGUGCCUUUUUCUUUCUUCCAGGGGUAGAGGUAGGAUUUUUCUUUUGGUUCCCUUCAGCGGGAUACCUUACAGGGCUAGGUUCCCUAGACUUUUGCUGUUGGGUACUAGGCGAGGAUUCCUCUGGUUCCUUGCCAAGUCCAGCAGUCAUUGCCUUGGGAUGCACGUGGAUGCCAGCCGCCUCCAUGGCUUUUUGCAUGGCCAGCAUUGCCUCUUGCAUUUUUUAGUUUUGUGCUUUUUGGGCUGCGAUCUCAGCUUCAUGAUCGACAGCCUUUUGUCUGAGAAGCACCAGCUCUGAGUAACUACCCUCAUCGUAGGCGUACUCAUCGAUGUUCCCUUCGUAAUCAUCAUCAGGAAUUCCUUCUUCUUCCUCGGAGCCCUCAGCUGCUCUUGAGGCUACGUCUUCCUCAUUCGGGUCUUGAGCGUCUUCUAGAGGGCGAGGUUGACGAGUGCUUCUAGUUUCCACCAUUGUUGUAAUGUAAAGUGUAUUUAGAGAAGCUUUCUUCAGCUCUCAAUGAAAGCACCAAAAUGUUGACCGAGGUUUUCAGCAACCAAUGAAAUAAUAGAAGAUUAAAGAGCUGUAAGAAAUUAAGAGAAGGAUUUUUACGUGGUUGGGGCGUUAAUGACCCUUAGUCCACGAGUCUGUAUAUUUAUGAGUGUAUUUAAUACAGAGAAUGUUCUUGGUGAGUAUUUACUCCUCUUGCACUUAUGCAACCCAAAAAUCUCGACCCUCUUUAAUGAGCUUUGAGGGGGUAUUUAUAGUGUUUUUGGUGGGGUGAUUCCCAGGAUUAUAGUACAUGUGUUUCUGUAAAUAUUCAUAAAGUUGGGUAUUCCCAAUGAAUAUACCAUGAGUAAUGCAUGGUCAAAUCCCUAGGUGUUGUAGGGCUUUUAUGUGGAAUGUCCUUAUUGCCUUUUGACUGACGUGACUCUUCGCAGUGUAGCCGUCAAUAGACUUAAGUGAUCAUAGCUUCGUAGGUGCAGAUUGGGGGUUGUGUCGUCAGACUUUAUUGCGUGUGGCAGUCCUAACACGUUUCCUCCCAUGCGGCAUUAAAUGCGAGAUGACUGGUCAGGGGAAGCCUGGCACCUCGCGGAGAUGCUUUGAUGUUACUUAGGCCUCCGGGAGCAUAGAGGACUCCGGAUGCCUUCUCCGGGAGGCAGGUCUCGGAAGACGCCUUUCUUCAUCAAGACUUAGCAAUUAAUUUAAAUGUUAAGAUCUUUCGGUCCACGUGUCCCUAUCCGGUGGGUCCACGUAUAUUGGGCAAAAUCAGGGGCAACAAUUAAUAUUAAAGUUAAAAGCAUAAGAUAAUUAAUUUGUAUGUUUGUAGUUGUAAAAUACAGAAUAAUGUGUUUAUAGAAUAAAUUGGAUCAUAUUUUAAAGAAAAAAGAAGAAGUUCGGUUUAGGCGGUUUAAACCGACCAAACUAAGAUUCAAAACAGUCAGUAUUAAGAUAGGUUUUGGAUUGGUCAGUCUUCGGAUUGCACCAACCCAGACCAAAAACCAAAUUAUAUAUUUUUAUAUAAAAAAAACUGAGGAAAUUGACCGAUACUCAACCUAACAGGAUGACUCAGUUUCACAUUUAUUAAACUUUCUCAAGUCUUUAUACUGUAUACUAUACUAUAGAGGACUCCUUUAGAGCGAUUUGAAAUUUCAACUUUUGCCGAAAAUGUAAAGGCACCGCCACUAAUAAUAGUUAUCUUUCUAUUUUAUUUUUAAAUUAGAAAAGUCAAUAUAUUUUUUAUAUUUACACUCUGAUUUAUUUAAUUUAGUUUACAAUAUGAUUUUUUUUUUUUUUUUUUAAAUAUUGGGGAGGUUUAAUAUUUUCUAUUAUUAUUAUUUUGCAUAUAAAAUAUUAAUUAUUUUCAAUAUUUUUUAUUAAACUAGCUAGUAAUGGUUGGACCCCCCGCCCGCCGGUUUGCUAUAAAUUACUAUUAUUAUUUUUAUAAAUGAUAUCAAUUAUUUUCUUUCAAAAAAAAAAAUAAAAUAACAGAUAUCAAUUAUUUUAUUUUUUUUAACAAACUGAUAUCAAUUAUUAUUAUUAUUAUUUUUCGAAUAGAACUGAUAUCAAUUAUUAUUUUCAUAACUAAUAUCAAUUAUUAUUAUCCUAUCUUCUGUUUACAUUUUUUUUUUUUAAAAAAGGAAUUUUUUUCCCUUUUGAAUGAAAACGGGAUAUUAUUUCUAAUUUGAAAUAUAUAUCUUUCAAAAUAAUAAAUAAAAUAAUUGUCAUUAUUUGCUGUAAAGAAAAAGAGUUGAAGGGAAGAGCGUGAGUGCGUCACUCUAAUAUAACGAAAUUAACUAAUAUAUAUAAUUUCCAGAAAAAAAAAGACUAAUAUAUAUAAUAAUAAUUCUAUAAAUAUCUCUCUAUAUAUAUGUGUAAUAUACAGAGAGAGAUACGGAGAAGAAAAAGAAGGGAAUCUAGAUUGGACAUCAUCGAUCGCAGACCCGGCCAAUUUACGAGCAAGCAGAUCGUCAUUUUAUGGAUAAGACAGCACUUGGCAAGGAGGUUUCUGAGGAAGUGACUCGAGAGUCGCUUAUAUCCAUUUCUUACUCUCUACCAGAGAAGGUUCUUACUUCAAAACGCUCUGUUGACAAGGUGAACGGUGAGAGUCUUGUAGAAAGAGUAGAUUUUGAUGGAGAAGAUAAGUGUAGGUCUGAAUUGAUUUCGAUUUCUUACACACAGUCACCAGAUGUCGGAGGCCUACCUGACGGAGUACUCAAGGAUUAGCCUGGUAGCUGUAGUAUUAGGUCCUCACACUUUUAUGUAUUUUAUCUAAUUAUGUGGUGUAUAACUCUAAUCAGUGUGAGUGUGUUUAAGUCUUUAUUUUAUGAUAUUUACCUUGUAAAAAAUUGACAUUGCAAGUGCUUCCCACUGUUGUUAUGAGUGAAAAAGCUUUGUUAAAACUAUGUCAUGAAAAUGUGUUCACAGAAUUUGAUUAAA